UAAUAAGCAUGUGAACAUUGAUUUAAUUUUCUGAGAAUCCAUACGUUAUAUUCAUCUUGGUUAGUGUUUCAUAGUUUUAAAUUAUUGUGUUAUGGAAUAUGGUUUGUUUAGAGUUUUAACCCCGAAAACUUCAUAUUUCAGGGUAUAGGGUUUGAUUACGAAAGAUGAUUUCGAUGGGAUUUUCAUGGAAUAGGAUUUGAUUAUGAAGAUGAUUUUGAUGGGCUCAUCAUUCUUUCCGAUUUAUUUAAAAAGGCACGAGCUUACGCGGAUGUGGGCCUUAAUUGUUUCAAUGCAUUUUGAUGACGUUAUGGAUAUGUUUUAAUAACUGAAGAUUUCUGAUUGGUCAAAAUAUAUUGGCGUCAUUUAUUUUUUUUAAAAGGAAAAUAGGCAAUGGCAGAGAUUUGUAAAUAACUUGAAAAGGCAGGGGUAUAAUCCUAGUAGGUAUUCUGCUUUAAUAGUAUAGAUGGGAUUGGGCCAGAAAUAACCACUAGCUAUCUGUUAGUAUUAGCCACGAAAACUCAGAGGUCAUAUAACUUUCAAUGUUUUCUUGUUCGAUCGAAUCACUAAUAUCGAGGUUGGGCUCACAGUUUCUGUGGGCCAAUCAUGUUCACUUUUCAGAGUGUUUUGGUCACUAAUUUCAAGAUUGACCCUACAAUUUUCAUGGCUAACUGUAUCAGUGGCCCAUAAAACUGUUAAAUGUCCAUGAUUUCAUAUAGGCUUAUUAGUUUUUGAUUGACGCAAAACUUCAUAAUAUAAUUUUUUUGAAUUAUAAGGGAUAUCCUGAC
Molecule: long non-coding RNA, 785 nt
Filed under: Brassica napus (rape)
Lineage: Eukaryota; Viridiplantae; Streptophyta; Magnoliopsida; Brassicales; Brassicaceae
Description: long non-coding RNA (BNAP_LNC014159)
Source: RNAcentral